UGCGAAGGGGGCUAGCGUUGCUCGGAAUCACUGGGCGUAAAGCGCACGUAGGCGGCUUGCUAAGUCAGGGGUGAAAUCCUGGAGCUCAACUCCAGAACUGCCUUUGAUACUGGCGACCUUGAGUCCGGGAGAGGUGAGUGGAACUGCGAGUGUAGAGGUGAAAUUCGUAGAUAUUCGCAAGAACACCAGUGGCGAAGGCGGCUCACUGGCCCGAUACUGACGCUGAGGUGCGAAAGCGUGGGGAGCAAACAGG
Molecule: ribosomal RNA, 253 nt
Filed under: uncultured bacterium
Lineage: Bacteria
Description: partial 16S ribosomal RNA
Rfam family: Bacterial small subunit ribosomal RNA
Source: RNAcentral